GGGCCUAUAGUAAAGUGGUAUUACGCGUCCAUGGCAUGGAUGAGUCUGGAGUUCAAUUCUCCAUAGGUCCACUA
RNAcentral lists this transfer RNA (74 nucleotides) under Candidatus Moraniibacteriota bacterium. Its description in RNAcentral is "Candidatus Moranbacteria bacterium (groundwater metagenome) tRNA-Ala". It matches the Rfam family "tRNA". Rfam says of the family: Transfer RNA (tRNA) molecules are approximately 80 nucleotides in length. Their secondary structure includes four short double-helical elements and three loops (D, anti-codon, and T loops). Further hydrogen bonds mediate the characteristic L-shaped molecular structure. tRNAs have two regions of fundamental functional importance: the anti-codon, which is responsible for specific mRNA codon recognition, and the 3' end, to which the tRNAs corresponding amino acid is attached (by aminoacyl-tRNA synthetases). tRNAs cope with the degeneracy of the genetic code in two manners: having more than one tRNA (with a specific anti-codon) for a particular amino acid; and 'wobble' base-pairing, i.e. permitting non-standard base-pairing at the 3rd anti-codon position. The record is from RNAcentral. Lineage: Bacteria; Candidatus Moraniibacteriota.